This is a long non-coding RNA of Gadus morhua (Atlantic cod), 3462 nucleotides long. The record is from Ensembl. Lineage: Eukaryota; Metazoa; Chordata; Actinopteri; Gadiformes; Gadidae.
AUGAAUGGGUGGAUGUCAGGCGAUAUUGUAAAGCUCUUCGCAUCAAAGCGCUAUCUAAAUGCAGUCCGUGUACCAUUUCUGUGUCUGCGUCUCGUUCUGACGUCUCGCCUCCGCCUCCUCUCCCCCCCCCCCCCCCCCCCCCCCCCCCCCAGAGUCCUCGUCCUCCGUGAUGGUGUUCCAGGACACCGCCACCCGCACCACCCCCCGCGCCCCGCCCGUCACCGUGACAACCGGCACCACCUCCACCGCCGUCGCGGUGGGCAGCGGCACCUCCGCCCUGACCCGCGGGGGCCCGGGCACCGUCAGGCCCCCCGGCGGCGGCGGCGGCGGCACCACCACCACCGUCGCCGCCGGCAACGGCAACGCCCGGGUCACCGCGAGGACGACGACCGCCACCGCCACCAGCACCACGGGCGCGGCCCCGCCCCUCACGCCGGCGCAGGCCUUCGUGCCCGAGGGCGCCAGCCGCUCGCCGGCCUCCUCCCGCCUGCCCGCCGUCCGGGUGGAGAACUGCAUCGCCAUGGUGAUGGCGGACGUGUCCUGGCCCCGCACCACCCAGGGCCUGGCGGCCCGGAUGCCCUGCCCCCCGGGGACUCUGGGGGUGGCCACGUACACGUGUGUGGGGCCCGAGGGCUACUGGGACCCCCAGGGGCCCGACCUCAGCAACUGCACCUCCCCCUGGGUCAACAUCAUCAGCCAGAAGAUCAAAGCAGGCGAGACGGCGGCGGCCAUCGCCCGCGAGCUGGCGGAGCAGACCAAGAGCAACCUCCAGGCGGGGGACAUCACGUCCACUGUGCGCCACAUGGUGCAGCUGGUGGACCUGCUGGACGUGCAGCUGAGGAACCUCACGCCCGGCGGCAAGGACAGCGCCGCACGCAGCCUCAACAAGCUCCAGAAAAGGGAACGCUCCUGCAGGUUUUAUGUACAGGCCAUGGUGGAGACGGUGAACAACCUGCUCCAGCCCACGGCCCAGGCGGCCUGGAGGGGGCUCAGCACCGGGGCCCAGCUGAGGGCAGCCACCACGCUGCUGGACACGGUGGAGCAGGGCGCCUUCGUCCUGGCCGACAACCUGCUGAAGACCGACAUCGUGCAGGAGAACACCGACAACAUCCGUGAGUAGGACCGCCGGCCGUGAGUGUUGGAGGGGUCAACGGAACUGCGUUUGUACCGCGCUUUUUCGAAACCAGCCGCCACUCGGAGAGCUGCACGAUACGGAAGGGCUGAUGACACACGCGGUGUGUCUUUUUGCAAUUGAUUUGUUAACAUUCGCAGUGUUGAUCAGCAGAGGAAUAGUUUGCCAAAGACGUUGACGUCGCUUAGCAACUGAAUACACUGGGGUUGAUGAGUGACCGGACUACUUGCAGAGUGAUACAAAAGACGUGAAUCAGGCUGAAAAUCCAUUUUCCCUGACAGCAGUCAAUAAUGCUUAUAAACGGUCAAUUAUGCUAAAAUAAUUGACGCCGGACCUUUAGAAGGGCCAUUGAUGUGAAUGGAGCAUUCUACAGCAUUAAGAAGAGCCGUGUUAUAAUGCCUAACAUUCACCUGUUCACGCACACAUCCACGCACCGAGGGUGUAGUCAGCGGUGCGAGGCUACAGCCAGCUUAUUGGGAGCAGUUAGGGUGAGGUGCCUUGCUCAGGGACACCUCGACACUCUCACGCUAUAGGUGGAGCCGGGGAUUGAACUAGCAACCUUCAGGUCUCCAAACAGCUCGCCGGGAGCAGUUCGGGUGAGGUGCCUUGCUCAGGGACACCUCGACACUCUCAUGCUAUAGGACUAGCUACCUUCUGCUCUACCUCCUGAGCCCCCCGUGGUAGUGUGUGCAUGCAGGGGCCUCUGUGUGUUGGGUGUGCAAAAACGAAGGGACCUGCUUGCCUCGGGGCCCCAUGAGUGGAAGAGGUGGGGGAGGGGGGGGGGACUGGGGACCGGGGACUAUAAUCAACAUUACAUAUUAUGUUAAAUUGCACCAGCGUUUCAGCGUCACUUUAGUAAUUGUUUGUUUGCCGGGGUUGCUUUUAUCGUUUUUCAUUCAACUCCAAUGAGACACGACUAAUAAUGUUUUUUCGUUUGAUUUCUUGGGUCUCGGGCUUUGAUGAGAACGCACACCAGAAAGCGAGGCCGCGAAAAAGAGCAUGUUUGCUAAUGUGAACACUUAGCCUUUGUUGCAAGUCGUUGGUGUUGUUGUUGUUGUGUGCGUCUGUUGUUUCCCUGUGACUCCCCCCCCCCCGCUCUACACUGUGGCUUCACGUCUAAUAAGAGUCGCGUGUCGUGAGCGUGUCGUGAGCGUGUCCCCGAGGCAUCGCGGGAACACGGAGAGCGCCUUCGCUGCGCGACGUUAGCUGCCAGUUGGCAGAAGGGGAACGGUUCGCUGUUUGACGCUCGUGCUCAACAACGGCGUCUGGUGCCUAGAGGGCCGGCUUGGUUUACCCUCGCGCGACGCGUGGCGCCUUCGCGGCGCGACGUUAGCGCCUGGAGGCUGGCGGUUAGCAGAGCACAACGGCGUCUGGUGCCUGGAGGCCGGCGUGGCGUUCCCUCGUACAUCUCGUGGGCGCUGCUCGCCGGGCUUGGGGGGGGGCUAGAGGAGCUCGCGCUGGCCUUCGUGAUCCAGGGAGUGCUGGUGUAGACGCUGGAAGCUCCCAGUGGGCGCCGGGGGAAUGGAGACGAUCGCAGGUCAAAGGUUACGGCGAGGGCCUGUCGUCGUGGGCGUGUUGUCGGUGGGUUGGCGUUAUCGGGGUUUAAUGAUUUAAUUGAAUGAGUAUGAAUGUGUGUGUGCACCCCCACAUGCACACACAAGCGGGCCAGCGCGGACACACAAGCGCACACACACACACACACACACACACACACACACAAACGCACACACGCGCAUACGUAUAAUAUGUGAAAGAUAAUAUAAUUUAUCGCUCUCUGUUUGCCGAGGCCGGUGGGACUUCUCUGCUUUUGCUGCUGCCAUGGCAACCUCAAGAAUAUAGGUCCGAGCAAAUGAAAGGAGGCGAGCUUAAAGAGAAUUAAUAAAAGUGGAAUUUAUCAUGGCGGGGCACGGAAUUCAUUGGAGUAUUAAGGAGAUUCUGGUGUGUGUGUGUGUGUGUGUGUGUGUGUGUGUGUGUGUGUGUGUGUGUGUGUGUGUGUGUGUGUGUGUGUGUGUGUGUGUGUGUGUGUGUGUGUGUGUGUGUGGAGACAAUCCGGCUGGAAUUCAAAAGGGAUUUUUAUGGUCUGCACAGUGGAAGUGUUGUUAAUCACGUGACGGUGGUGCAUUAGCUUAGCCCCUCUCUACCUCCUUAUGCUCCCCUCGUGUUUAUACGGCUCCUGUGUGGUUGACUCUUAAACCCGGUUCUUCCUCAAGACUCAGAGGCGGCCUAUUAUGUUUUUGUUUAAGUACUACGGGACCUUAUCAUGGUCACAUAAAAUGACCAUUGUGUUAGCGGCGGUUUGAUCCAACAGGGGAAUGAAAAGCAGUAAAUUG